CUCUCUCACAAAACCAUCAGAUCUUCUCUCUCACUUCUCUCUCUCUCUCUCUCUCUCUCGGGGCAACUCAAGAAACCCUUGCCAGAUCUAUCACCAGAUCCGUUUCAUGAGCAGAUCUGUGAGGAUUCCACCGCCUAUUCCCCUCCGCCUUGUUACGCUGCUUCAAUCGCGGCUUCUCCUUCAUUCCAGGGCUUUGCUGAUUUCAGGCAAUCUAGGGUUUUGUAAGUGGAGAUUCUGGCGAUAUAGGGAUUAAACAAGCUUUAUUUGGCAACUUGAUGUCGAAGGCACCAAGGGAUCCACAGAUUUGAGCAAGGGAUCCACAGAUUUGCUGGAGAAUGGAGAUCCAGAAAAAAGGUUAUGCAAAUCAAAGCUGUGAAGCCUAAGAGAAGGGUUAAGAUGGUGAGAACCUGCAAAUCAUAUUUGUCGUAUGGCCAACAGGGUUCUACUAUUGCUGGCUAUGUCAUCUAGAAAUGAACCUGCUAUGUCAGCGAAUAUUCUUAAUAAAGCUGGUUAGUUAUUUGGUCUAUAUCUGUCAUGGGAGUCCUGUAUGUGUCUAACAUCUUAUGUUUGUUUCUGUUAGCUUCUUGUUUGACUAGAAUUAUAAUUUCAUAUUUGACCUUGUUGGUAAUGCCAGGUACUUUUUUGGUUUUUGAGAAGGAGUAGAAAAUUAAAGAAGGCCUCUAUAUGAUGGGACAGAAGGAUGAGAUAUUUCAUAUUUCUUGGUUUAUUACUUACGCUAUACAGUUUGCGAUCACAGCAGCAAUCAUCACUGUGUGCACGAUGGGCACACUGUUUCAGCACAGUGAUAAAACAUCGGUGUUCGUCUAUUUCCUCUGUUUGGGCUCAGUGCCAUAAUGAUAUCGUUCCCGAUCUCUACUUUCUUCAUACGAGCAAAAUCGGCAGUUGGAACUCUUGCUUUUCUUGGAGCCUUUUUUCCUUAUUAUAUGGUCAAUGACGAAGCUGUUUCUAUGGUUUUAAAGAUAUUGGCUUCUUUGCUUUCGCCUACAACAUUUGCUUUAGGAUCAGUCAAUUUUGUUGAUUAUGAGCGUGCCCAUGUUGGACUCCAUUGGAGCAACAUUUGGCGAGCAUCUUCUGGAGUGUGCUUUUUAAUAUGUCUAGCUAUGAUGGUUCUGGACUCUUUGUUGUAUUUUGCAAUUGGCCUGUAUCUAGACAAGAUUCUCCACAAGGAGAGCGGGUGGUGUACCCAUGGAACUAAAUCUUCCCGAAAGGCUUUUGGAGUAAGAUAAAUAUAUUAAAACUCUUUGCUUCCAGUUCAGAAGUUAACAGUGACAAUCAUUCCAAAGAAAAGAGCACAUCUUCUCAGUCAACAAUGGAAGCAAUAAGCUUAGAUAUGAAGCAGCAAGAGUUGGAUGGCAGUGGGGAUGAAUAUGAUGGGCAUGGAUGGUGGAGGGGGGUUAGAUGGAGGAGACGAUGACAGUGGUGACGAUUUGGUGAUUGUUACGAGUGACGUUGAUAUGAAUAAUCAUGUGCUGAUGGAUGAGAUGCAAGAUUGGGGAGAAGAUGCUGGCCAGGGUGGUGAAGGAGAGAGGAAGGAUUUGUUGGGUGGUGAUGCUGGGAAAGGUGAGGGUGGAGGUGCGGUUGCGCAGAAGAUGGGAUACGGCGCCGGUCAUGGGUAUCAUCCGUUUCAUUCUCAGUUCAAGUUUGUGAGACCUGGUGCUGCACCUAUGCUUGGAGCGAGUCCUGUAGCAACUGGUGGAGCCCUGGGUCAAGUUCGUCUACCUGGAAGUAUGUUAUCUUUUGCUGGUCGAGGUAGAGGUGAAUGGCAUCCAGCUGGCGCAAAAAAAAAACGUUCCUCCUAAUAUGCAGAAAAACUUUCAUCCGGGUUGGAACAACAAUGGAGUGGGUCGUGGAUUUGGCAGUGGACUAGAUUUCACCCUUCCAUCACACAAGUAAUGACCGUACAUCACUAUAUCUCAAGUAGUGCGACCACCCACCAGUUUUGACAUGUGAAACGAAUAGGUUAUAGUAUCAAAUGUUAAUUUUAUUUUAUGUGUGAACCCCGCUGGGUACUCGCAACUGAAGCUAAAAUAUUAGAAAAAGAUUGUUUUAUGUCUACUUUAUGGUGCUUGUUGAAACAGGGUAGGCUAGCAAACUUUUCUCUUCAUUUAUAUUACUUUUUUUUAAUCU
Helianthus annuus (common sunflower) is the source of this 2148-nucleotide RNA transcript. It is a transcript of the gene named FIP1[V]-like protein, with no coding region annotated. The transcript is spliced from 10 exons. The record is from RefSeq and is a predicted model, not a curated record. Lineage: Eukaryota; Viridiplantae; Streptophyta; Magnoliopsida; Asterales; Asteraceae.